GACAGAGGGUGCAAACGUUGCUCGGAAUCACUGGGCGUAAAGGGCGUGUAGGCGGGUAGGCAAGUCGGGCGUGAAAUCCCUGAGCUCAACUCAGGAACUGCACUCGAAACUGCUUAUCUUGAGUGCCGGAGAGGAAAGCGGAAUACCUGGUGUAGAGGUGAAAUUCGUAGAUAUCAGGUGGAACACCAGUGGCGAAGGCGGCUUUACUGGACGGUAACUGACGCUGAGACGCGAAAGCGUGGGGGAGCAAACAGG
Molecule: ribosomal RNA, 255 nt
Filed under: uncultured bacterium
Lineage: Bacteria
Description: partial 16S ribosomal RNA
Rfam family: Bacterial small subunit ribosomal RNA
Source: RNAcentral